GGCAACUGUGGAGAAAGGGCAGGCAUGCCUUGGAAAGAGGAAGGCGUAUUUGGGGGCUUCUGGGAACCACCAUAGGAAGGUUCUGCUUUGGAGAGCAAUUUAUUCCCAGGAUUUCUGUGAGGCUUGAGGCAGUGGUGAGCUUCAGAGAGCUGCAGAGGUUUCGCCGUUGUUCCUCAAUAAGGUGUCCCCUCAAUAAUCUCUUUGGGGAACAUGGACCCUCUGAGUCUGGUCAUGAUACUGAGAGAAGAGAGAGCUGAGUUCAAGGCCCUGUUUCAGAGUGUGGAUUCAAAGUUGGGUUUCCCAGAUCUGAGGUCCAUCUUGCUGUUUCAUGAGCUGGCACUGAGAGGGGACCUGAAGCCCUGCUCCACUAUCAACCAGGAGAGACCUAAUCACUUAACACCCUUCACUAGAUCGACUCUCCCUUUUCCCUUACCACCACAGGGGCUAAGGUAGACUGACAACCAUCAUGGAAGACCUCAUCCAUCUCAAAGUCAAAAGGGACCCAUUCUAGACCCAACCUGCCCAUUUCCUACUCAGAGGCCUGAAGACAACUCAUCUGCUGCCAACUGAAGCUUCAGGAAAGCAUGCUAUCAUCACUCUUGCUGAGAGGAACAGUUGCCAGAUAGAGGAGCCUCCAGGGGUGCUGGGCAUGGAGAACCAUAGUGGGUCAAAAAGGACAAGGCACAGAAAGAUUGGUGAAUUUUUGUGGGGGAACAAUAUGGCGUGCAUUGAUGUUUCAGAGACCUCUAUAAUGGAGGUGAGGGGGGAAAAUACCAUAUGCCCAUUUCCCCCCACUCUUGAUACAAUGUAGCACAACUCACUUGUGCAAUGUUGUUGUCAUUUUGGUCACCUGUUCCCAGCUCUCCUGGAAGGUUGCUCCCCUGCAGUAGCCUGUUCUGAAACCCUGCAGACCUCAGUUCUCCGGUGUGCUGUGGGUACGGAGUCCAACCCGUGCAGCCGCUCUUGCUGUGGGUUCUGUGGUACAGAACGCCUUGUGCAGCCCUCUAUCAACAAAUGAAUUUUGCCUUCCCACGCUAGGAUCAGAGGCGAACAUUUCAUUGAUAUUGUAAAUGAGAUGGAAAAAAAUGCAAAGGCUCCUAAGAUUUUCAUUUCCAUAAACCUUGCCUAAGGCUCCAGCUGGAAAUACCCAGGAGGGUCAUGUACAGUACAGUAUAUUCCCCGACUACUACUUUGGCCAAAUACAUUUUGUUCUUGAGUCAUGUGUGCACUGCAGAGCAUUUCAAAGACCCAUCUGACAGAAUAUAGUCACUCACCUUCAAAGUACAGUGCAAUCUCAAGAGGUUCAGAGUUAGGGUUUGGUUUGAAUUCUUGGAUCCUUAUCUGAAUUCCCUGACACUGUAUAAGAGGCAUCCUUGCAAGAUUCCCAACAUUUCUGCUUCUAGUCCAAGCCACAUAAUAACCCAAUAACAGCCUUUCUCUUUGUAUUUCCACUAGAACCAGAAGUGUAUGUCUAUUGGGGUGGGCGGGGAGAGGGAGGGAGGGAGUAGGAUCUAUCAGAACAUUUCAGAAUUUUGAAGGAGGUUUGGUUCAAGUUUCAUUCUAGGAAUGAGUGAAGGUUUCAAACACUCUUCUUAACAGUGCUAUGAUUAUUGUUUUUCUGUAUUUACAUGACUAUUAGGUGUUAAUUUUCAGGGCUUCAUUGUUAUGCAUAUAACACCAAAAUCUGCCUCAUGUUGCCAUCAAAUUAUCAAGCUAAGAUUUCUGCUCUGACUGUUCAUGUUAUAUUCUGUUAUGAAUGUCUAAUAAUUUUAUUAACUUAAAGCCAAAUAAAACCAAGUGCAUGCAG
This is a long non-coding RNA of Chelonia mydas (Green sea turtle), 1807 nucleotides long. RefSeq lists it as uncharacterized. The record is from RefSeq and is a predicted model, not a curated record. The transcript is spliced from 4 exons. NCBI's taxonomy places the organism in Eukaryota, Metazoa, Chordata, Testudines, Cheloniidae.